RNAcentral lists this transfer RNA (63 nucleotides) under Hyalomma asiaticum. RNAcentral's name for it is "tRNA-Glu". Lineage: Eukaryota; Metazoa; Arthropoda; Arachnida; Ixodida; Ixodidae. The record is from RNAcentral.
AUUUAAAUAGUGUAAUUUUAAACACGUAACAUUUUCAUUGUUAAAUUCCCUCCGGUUUAAAUU